GAACAGCUCGUGUAGCAUUUCAUGCUGGGAACGGCAUUCCUUACGUAUGCCAGAAGCCACUGAACUGCUGCUGGCAUGAUGUCACUCAACCCUUCAGGCUGUUUUGAAGCUCCAUUUGUGAACUUUGACCAGCAGGUCCAUUCAACGUAUUUGCUUGUCACUCACCAUAGAACAUGGGUUCAACUGCAAGAGGGGCCCAGCACUAGCAUUAUUGGCCCAAGACCCAAACUGCAGGGGAAGGAGCAAGGCACAUUAGGCAAGGACAUAGAAUGAAAAACAGGAGUAAACAGAUGAAUGGAUAGUGGCCAAUUAAAAACCAAUUGCGACAACAGUGAGGGAUGGAAGGAAAAAGGAAAACAAAAAUAACUGGCUCAUAGGAGAUUGCUGCCAGGAAGAGAGCUUUCAGCUUUGUGAAGGGUACCACACAGGCCCUCCGGGGUGAGAUCGAGGAAAGGUGCAAAGGUAACAGGUAAAUCCAUUUUGGGCUCUCAGGAUCAGCAGCAAGAGUGAAUAGGUUAAUGCAAUGAUCACCAUAACAAAAAAUACUUCUACCUCUUUCCCAAGAUCUACAAACAGUAUAACAAGACACUAAAUAGCAUGAAGGAACACCAAUGGCACUACUUAAAGAGGUUAUGCAGUACUUAGAGGUUA
Carcharodon carcharias (great white shark) is the source of this 651-nucleotide long non-coding RNA. RefSeq lists it as uncharacterized. Lineage: Eukaryota; Metazoa; Chordata; Chondrichthyes; Lamniformes; Lamnidae. The transcript is spliced from 5 exons. The record is from RefSeq and is a predicted model, not a curated record.